GACGAACGCUGGCGGCGUGCCUAAUACAUGCAAGUAGAACGCUGAAGGAGGAGCUUGCUCUUCUGGAUGAGUUGCGAACGGGUGAGUAACGCGUAGGUAACCUGCCUGGUAGCGGGGGAUAACUAUUGGAAACGAUAGUUAAUACCGCAUAACAGUAGAUGUUGCAUGACAUUUGCUUAAAAGGUGCAAUUGCACCACUACCAGAUGGACCUGCGUUGUAUUAGCUAGUUGGUGGGGUAACGGCUCACCAAGGCGACGAUACAUAGCCGACCUGAGAGGGUGAUCGGCCACACUGGGACUGAGACACGGCCCAGACUCCUACGGGAGGCAGCAGUAGGGAAUCUUCGGCAAUGGACGGAAGUCUGACCGAGCAACGCCGCGUGAGUGAAGAAGGUUUUCGGAUCGUAAAGCUCUGUUGUAAGAGAAGAACGAGUGUGAGAGUGGAAAGUUCACACUGGACG
RNAcentral lists this ribosomal RNA (461 nucleotides) under Streptococcus sp. oral taxon 064. RNAcentral describes it as "bacterial SSU rRNA". It matches the Rfam family "Bacterial small subunit ribosomal RNA", at positions 28 to 474 of the family's 1533-position model. The record is from RNAcentral. Lineage: Bacteria; Bacillati; Bacillota; Bacilli; Lactobacillales; Streptococcaceae.